RNAcentral lists this ribosomal RNA (458 nucleotides) under uncultured Sphingobacteriales bacterium. RNAcentral's name for it is "bacterial SSU rRNA". It matches the Rfam family "Bacterial small subunit ribosomal RNA", at positions 920 to 1382 of the family's 1533-position model. The record is from RNAcentral. Lineage: Bacteria; Pseudomonadati; Bacteroidota; Sphingobacteriia; Sphingobacteriales.
CCCGCACAAGCGGUGGAACAUGUGGUUUAAUUCGAUGAUACGCGAGGAACCUUACCUGGGCUUAAAUGGGGAGUGACAGCUGUCGAAAGAUGGUUUCUUCGGACACUCUUCAAGGUGCUGCAUGGUUGUCGUCAGCUCGUGCCGUGAGGUGUCGGGUUAAGUCCCAUAACGAGCGCAACCCUUACCGUUAGUUACCAUCAGGUUAAGCUGGGGACUCUAGCGGGACUGCCACCGUAAGGUGAGAGGAAGUGGGGAUGACGUCAAAUCAGCACGGCCCUUAUGUCCAGGGCUACACACGUGGUACAAUGGCCAGUACAAAGGGCAGCUACCGGGUGACCGGAUGCUAAUCUCUAAAGCUGGUCUCAGUUCGGAUCGAAGUCUGCAACCCGACUUCGUGAAGCUGGAUUCGCUAGUAAUCGCGCAUCAGCCAUGGCGCGGUGAAUACGUUCCCGGGCCUU